CCGCCCAUAGCUCAGUUGGUAGAGCAAGGGACUCUUAAUCCCUGUGUCGUAGGUUCGAGCCCUACUGGGCGGA
RNAcentral lists this transfer RNA (73 nucleotides) under Candidatus Kaiserbacteria bacterium CG10_big_fil_rev_8_21_14_0_10_43_70. Its description in RNAcentral is "tRNA-Lys". It matches the Rfam family "tRNA". Rfam says of the family: Transfer RNA (tRNA) molecules are approximately 80 nucleotides in length. Lineage: Bacteria; Candidatus Kaiseribacteriota. The record is from RNAcentral.